CUUAGAGUGAGGACACAGGGAGAGUCCUGGACACCAAGAGCCAAGCAAAAAGACACUGUCAUUGUUGGAGAAGCUGUUACUCAAAAAGUGCCUCUGACCAGCCUUCCAGACUCUUCACCCUCAGCCCAGGAGCACACAAGUCUCAGAACAGCACAGAAGUCUGGCUCCAACAGAAAGAGAUGAUGGAAGGAAGCAGAGAGCCAGUGGGUGAACAAGGAAGCCUCAUGUCAAGGAUUUCAUGAAGGACUGCCUUGGGCUCACAAAAGCAGCAACCUUUUGAUGCUCCCCAUGUGACAUUCUGACCUUUAGAAGAAGUGUGAACGGGGCCCAGGAAGACAGAAGUCCCUGUGGACUAGGAACCCAGUUUGUCUAAGAAGAGCUAAAACCUGGGGCAAGGAGACAAGCAGACCACUCAUCGGGCUCUCAUCCUUCAUCCCCAAGGAAACGUCAAGUGGUGGCUCCCCAAGCUCUCCUCUCUCUGGGUCCCAAUCCGCAAGUUCACGACUGAAGUGACUCCACAACUCACAAACUGUCUUUUACACUGCUUUCUAUGCAAACUGCAAGCCUCCUCCUGGAGCAAAGACCUAGCCCUGCCAUCUUAAAGAAGCCUUGGCCAGCUACCAGCACAAUCAACUCCCCCACUUAUGAGACAAGACCCUGGGAGAGAAACUGCUUAAGGAAUGUCAGGAUCCCCAUGUCCUCUAUGGGAAAGCCCAAUAGGUUUCCAUCUGAGUUCUUACAGGACAAAAAGAUGAACGCCUACAUGAGUACUGUAUGGGCGGCGGGGACAACUGUUAGGGAGAACAAAGAAAUACUUCUAGCCCUUUUCAAUACUAAUCCCAUUUGACAAGUUCAUAUGUCUGAAGAAAAGGUCAAAGUCGAGUUUACUAUGAGUCUGGACCUGUAGAAGCGAAGAGAACUUCCUCCCUGCCCUACAGAGAGCAACAGGAAAGGCGGCACACAGACUUUACCUCCAGAGGGAAGGGCAAUCACAGGGCAGUGAACACUCAUGACCCCAGGAAACAGAAACUUAUUAUCACUCUUCACGAGCACGCUGGCAAUUCUGAGGGAAAUGAGAGCCGGUGCUAACUGACCAAGUCUAUCCUGCAUGGAGUCAAGUCCUUCUUCCUGUGAUGUGGUUCAGCAGCUCGCUGCUGAGAAAUUUGGGAAGAGAAAGUUAUAACUGCAACUCUGCUGGCCAUUCCAGAACAUUAAAGAAAGUUCCUCUGGGCGUCAGGAGAGUUAGGAGUGACCACAGGAGAGAAGCACCAAAAGAUGCUGGUCCUGAGACUUAGUUAAAAACACACG
Molecule: long non-coding RNA, 1308 nt
Organism: Alexandromys fortis (reed vole)
Lineage: Eukaryota; Metazoa; Chordata; Mammalia; Rodentia; Cricetidae
Exons: 3
Source: RefSeq, a predicted model, not a curated record